RNAcentral lists this long non-coding RNA (468 nucleotides) under Homo sapiens (human). RNAcentral describes it as "HSALNT0076154". Lineage: Eukaryota; Metazoa; Chordata; Mammalia; Primates; Hominidae. The record is from RNAcentral.
AACCGCGUGGGGAAAGGGGUACUAAAAAGGGGGCAUCCGCCUGAGGAGCGGCAGACAGAGGAGGACGGUGAAGUAGGAGCGCUGCAAGGAGAAAGGAAGGACACGAGGGAUGGAGAGACAGCGAGGACCAGGGCCAAGGGCGGCGGGCGGGAGAGGGUUAAAGGCAACAGGAGACAAGGUCCUCCCUCCACUGCCUUUCACACUCCGGUUGCGGGAGAGGCCAAGCGAGAAAACCCAAAUCUAGAUGAAAACCGGGGGAGGGGAGGGGAGCACAGCGUCUCCUGCACCCGGGAGACCCGAGAACUCAGCGAUCAGCUGGCUGCCCGCGAUUCAUCGCUCCAUUCACGCCCAGGCAGGGAAUACCGACAUUAAGGCACUCCGGGAAGACGCGCAGGGCUCCCGGGAACAGUAUCAGGCGAAAGCAUCACGUACCAGUUUUCCUGCAUCCAUUGGAUGGCUUCAUUCUCG